RNAcentral lists this ribosomal RNA (374 nucleotides) under uncultured eukaryote. Its description in RNAcentral is "partial 18S ribosomal RNA". It matches the Rfam family "Eukaryotic small subunit ribosomal RNA", at positions 592 to 976 of the family's 1831-position model. The record is from RNAcentral.
CAAGAGCGUAUGUAAAAGUUGUUGCAGUUAAAAAGCUCGUAGUUGAACCUUGGGUUUGGUUGGCCGGUCCGCUUUUUUGCGAGUACUGGAUUCAACCGAGCCUUUCCUUCUGGCUAACCAGUCGUUUCGGCGGCUGGCGAACCAGGAUUUUUACUUUGAGAAAAUUAGAGUGUUCAAAGCAGGCAUUAGCUUGAAUAUAUUAGCAUGGAAUAAUAGAAUAGGACGUUAUGGUUCUAUUUUGUUGGUUUCUAGGACCAUCGUAAUGAUUAAUAGGGACGGUCGGUGGCAUCAGUAUUCAGUUGUCAGAGGUGAAAUUCUUGGAUUUACUGAAGACUAACUACUGCGAAAGCAUUUGCCAAGGACGUUUUCAUUAA